CGAGGAUCAAUUGGAGGGCAAGUCUGGUGCCAGCAGCCGCGGUAAUUCCAGCUCCAAUAGCGUAUAUUAAAGUUGUUGCGGUUAAAAAGCUCGUAGUCGAAUUUGUGUCCCGCGCCGCCGGUUCAUCGCACGCGGUGUUAACUGGCGUGCCGCGGGACGUCCUGCCGGUGGACUUAGCCUUCACGGGCGGUCCAACUCAAUCCCAUCACGGUGCUCUUUACUGAGUGUCGAGGUGGGCCGGCACGUUUACUUUGAACAAAUUAGAGUGCUCAAAGCAGGCUAAAACUUCGCCUGAAUACGUGUGCAUGGAAUAAUGGAAUAGGAUCUCGGUUCUAUUUUGUUGGUUUUCGGAACCCCGAGGUAAUGAUUAAUAGGAACGGAUGGGGGCAUUCGUAUUGCGACGUUAGAGGUGAAAUUCUUGGAUCGUCGCAAGACGAACAGAAGCGAAAGCAUUUGCCAAAAACGCUUUCAUUGAUCAAGAACGAAAGUUAGAGGUUCGAAGGCGAUCAGAUACCGCCCUAGUUCUAACCAUAAACGAUGCCAGCUAGCGAUCCGCCGACGUUCCUCCGAUGACUCGGCGGGCAGCUUCCGGGAAACCAAAGCUUUUGGGUUCCGGGGGAAGUAUGGUUGCAAAGCUGAAACUUAAAGGAAUUGACGGAAGGGCACCACCAGGAGUGGAGCCUGCGGCUUAAUUUGACUCAACACGGGAAACCUCACCAGGCCCGGACACCGGAAGGAUUGACAGAUUGAGAGCUCUUUCUUGAUUCGGUGGGUGGUGGUGCAUGGCCGUUCUUAGUUGGUGGAGCGAUUUGUCUGGUUAAUUCCGAUAACGAACGAGACUCUAGCCUGCUAACUAGGCGUAUUUCGACAUCCCAAAGGCCCGCCGGUUCGGGUUUCGGCUCGUUCCGUGCGCGGUUUUUACUGUCGGCGUACAAACAAUUCUUCUUAGAGGGACAGGCGGCUUCUAGCCGCACGAGAUUGAGCAAUAACAGGUCUGUGAUGCCCUUAGAUGUUCUGGGCCGCACGCGCGCUACACUGAAGGAAUCAGCGUGUCCUCCCUGGCCGAGUGGUCCGGGUAACCCGCUGAACCUCCUUCGUGCUAGGGAUUGGGGCUUGCAAUUAUUCCCCAUGAACGAGGAAUUCCCAGUAAGCGCGAGUCAUAAGCUCGCGUUGAUUACGUCCCUGCCCUUUGUACACACCGCCCGUCGCUACUACCGAUUGAAUGAUUUAGUGAGGUCUUCGGACUGGUACGCGGUGGCGUUUCGGCGUCGCCGAUGUUGCCGGAAAGAUGACCAAACUUGAUCAUUU
Molecule: ribosomal RNA, 1308 nt
Filed under: Callosobruchus maculatus (cowpea weevil)
Lineage: Eukaryota; Metazoa; Arthropoda; Insecta; Coleoptera; Chrysomelidae
Description: SSU rRNA
Rfam family: Eukaryotic small subunit ribosomal RNA
Source: RNAcentral